RNAcentral lists this ribosomal RNA (253 nucleotides) under uncultured bacterium. RNAcentral's name for it is "partial 16S ribosomal RNA". It matches the Rfam family "Bacterial small subunit ribosomal RNA", at positions 524 to 776 of the family's 1533-position model. The record is from RNAcentral.
UACGUAGGGACCAAGCGUUGUUCGGAUUUACUGGGCGUAAAGCGCACGUAGGCGGAUUGCUAAGUCAGGGGUGAAAUCCUGGAGCUCAACUCCAGAACUGCCUUUGAUACUGGCGAUCUUGAGUCCGGGAGAGGUGAGUGGAACUGCGAGUGUAGAGGUGAAAUUCGUAGAUAUUCGCAAGAACACCAGUGGCGAAGGCGGCUCACUGGCCCGGUACUGACGCUGAGACGCGAAAGCGUGGGGAGCGAGCAGG